CACUUCAUUCGUUCAUCACUUAGCUUCCUCGUUUCAUCAGAGAUACUGUAACCCUAACAUUAUCACGCAGACGGCCACACCACCGAUCGCGGCUCUCCUCCUCAUCGACCGCAACUCUCAAUCGCUUUCACUCCAAGCGGCGACGGCGCGGUUCUCCCUUUCACGGUCAUCGGAACGUUGCUCUCAUCCACGGGUUCCUGCGCGGUGCUCUCCUCCACGGGUGUCGGCGCGGUGCUCUCCUCCACGGGCAUCGGCGCGGUGCUGUCCUCCACGCACGCUGCUCCACGGCUCCCCCUCUUCCUAUCUCGGCUCCAAGUACAGGGUCAUGUUCGAGAAACCCCUCUCCUUCUCCCGUUUCCACUUCUUCCCCUGUCUCGCCUUCUCCUCUUCGCAAGGGCUGUAACCCCCCUCCUCCUCCUCUGCUUAUUGCUUCUAUUCUUAAAGCUGUGUUAAGGUACGGAAAAAAGCAGUUUGCGGUUGAUGAGACCAGGCGUGAUACUUAGAAUUGUCCAGUGCCUUCAUGCAAUGAACCACCAGUAUUGACCACUUGAUGUGUCUAACUUCAACAUCUUCCAUCUUCACCAACAACUCCUUGAUAGAAAGAAUGAGAGAGGAGUUAUCAUGGAUCUCCGGUGACAUUUUCUGAGUCAGCGUUAUAGCACACUUUGAGUUUGAUUCCACCACCAGCUUCCUAAUCCCCAGCUCAGAUGCUAGUUUAACCCCAACAUACAUGCCCCAAAUCCCAGCCAUGGUAAUGGUACAAACUCCAAUGUUCAUCGAGAAGCCGGCAAUAGUGCGACCCAUCCAAUCCCUAAUGAGACCUUCACAAGCGCUUUUACUGCCAGGUUGGUUAACCGACCCAUCCACAUUCAAUUUGGUCCAAUUCCAAUUUGGCGCCUCCCAACCAAUAAGCUCCUCUCUGCUGAUUGUUUGGCAGAGUCUCGUUCCCGAAGAUGAGGUCAUUCCUGCACUUCCAGGUUAUGUUGCAAGCUGUGACAAAAGUUAUGGGCCACGGGGUCCCACAGUGCUUUCGAGAGACUAAGGAAAGGGACAAUCACGUAAGACAUGGAGCAAAGUCUCCUCCUCUCCGCAGCAUCUUGGACAGUCGCCAUCUUCCGUGAGGGUCAUAUUUAAACCAAAGAAAAAAUGGCUGCUGCUAUGGUGGGAGGGGCAUUACUCUCUACUUAUGUUCAGGUGUUGUUGGAUAAGAUUAUUUCAAUGAGUUCUUGAACUUCUUUAAUGUUUCACUUCUUGGAAAGAUGAAGAUGAAGUUAAAAGACAAGUUUGAUUUAAAAGCAUGGGCAUGUGUUUCAAAGGAUUUUGAUGGUUUUCAGGGUCACUAAGACUCUGCUUGAAUCGGUUACCUCAAAAACAACAAAUACUGAUAACUUGAAUACUCUGCUAUGCAAACUUUUCUUAUCUUCCAUUUGACAUCUCUUGAUACUGAAGAUUGCUGGUCUUUACUUGCUGAACACGCAUUUGGAGCAAAUAAUUCCAGUGAAAGGUCCAACCUAGAAGGAAUUGGAAGAGAAAUUGUGAAAAAAAUGUGAUGGUUUUCCUUCCCUUACCAUUAAAUGGAUGGUCAUUUGACUAUUACCUAUCAAACAAGGUAAUAUAUGACUUGUUGCCCAAGUUAAAACAGUUGCGGGUAUUAUUCUUGUCACACUACAAGAAUAUCUCUGAGUUACCAGACUCCAUUGGAGCUUUAAAACAUUUGCGGCAUUUAGAUCUUUCUGGCACUAACAUUAAAAGGUUGCCUUCUGUGGUUUGCAAGCUCUACAAUCUAAGUUUCCACUGAAUUACCUGAGGAGAUAGGAAUGAUGGUGAAUCUUCGCCACCUCGACAUUAGUGGAACUCAAUUGCAGGAGAUACCGGCACAAAUAGCAGACUAGAAAAUCUCCAAACUUUAUCUGGGUUUGUUGUUAGCAGACAGCAAAAUGGAUUGAAGGUGGGAGAAUUGCAAAAAUUUCCCAAUUUGCAGGGGAAGCUCUGCAUUUCAAAGCUACAAAACAUUGUUGACACCUGUGAUGCUUCACAAGCCAAUAUGAAGAAGAAAGAACAAAUUGAAGAUCUAUCAUUAGAAUGGGAUAGCUGCACUGCUGAAGAGUUCUGUUCCUAAAAAAUUGUGAGAACUUUGAAUUCCCAAAUCAUGAAUCCCUACAUAGUUACAUGGCACUUGAAUCUUUGACAAUAUGGAAUAGUUGUUGCUCACUGAUAUCAUUUCCCUUAGGCUCUCUCCCUGUGCUCAAGUGGAUCUACUUUAUAGAAUGUAAGAAUUUGAAAUCAUUUUCAAUUUCAGAAGAAGAAGAUGCACCCCAGUGUCUAACAUUUCUUCAUCUUGGAUUGCCAACUCCUAAGCUCAGACGUUUUUGGGUGUCAUAUUGCAACAAGCUUAAUUCACUACUAGAACCGAUUAAUGCUCUUGUUGGCCUUCAAGAAUUGACAGUUCUUAACCUCCCAAGUAUGCAGUUUUUUGCAAAUUAAGGUCAUCCUAUCAGUUUACGAACACUUCGAAUCAGCUCAAAUGCAGAUAUCAUUAAAUGUAGCCUUGAACAUCUUACUUGCCUUUCAGAGUUAGAAAUUGAAGGUGGUUAUCUGGUUAACAUGCUAAUGAAGAUGGAAGUGCCACUAUUACCCUCUACUCUUAUCUCCCUACACAUCUAUCAUCUUGAUGGUAUAAGACAUUUGGAUGGGAAAAUCUGACUUCUCUUGAAGGAUAGCUUUCAUCUCUUUCGGUAUUGACUAUAGGGAGUUGUCCAUUGUUAGAAGCGAGUUGUCGGAGUAAUGGGGAGAAAGAGUGGCCUAAAGUUGCUCACAUUCCUUGCAUUAUUAUGGAUAAGAAGGUCAUCAUUUGAGUGUCUAGAUGAGCCAUUGAAAUAUUAUGAAUCUGUAGAGUCAUAUCCUUAUAACACCAAUGACUCUUGAAUUUUACUUGUUUCAUAGGUUGUAGCAAACUAUUUGUGAACCAUGCUUGUGGAGUUGUGGGAAACUUGCUGUAACUUGAAGCAGAGGAUAAUAUUCUCCAUCAGAUUUUGGUGUGCACGUAGCAUUUUUGUUUUGGAAAUAUGCAAACAUUUUCCCACUUGAUGUGGUAGUAUGUUAAUUAAGUUAUAAAUACAUGACUUA
Molecule: long non-coding RNA, 3126 nt
Organism: Arachis duranensis
Lineage: Eukaryota; Viridiplantae; Streptophyta; Magnoliopsida; Fabales; Fabaceae
Exons: 6
Source: RefSeq, a predicted model, not a curated record